Long non-coding RNA from Parambassis ranga (Indian glassy fish), 1521 nucleotides. Lineage: Eukaryota; Metazoa; Chordata; Actinopteri; Ambassidae. The record is from Ensembl.
AUGAAUGAGCAUCAGCUGCUGAAAAAUCUUGAGAACAACUCAUUAGUUACAAGCCCACCAGAAGAGACUGAUGCCACUGUAGAUCCUCAGGCUGCUGCUGAGACAUUAAGAAGAAGUCAGAGAACACGUAAACUCACAGCAAAAGGCCAAGAGCUCCAAGAUAGUAAGUCCAAAAGGCUUCAGCAUCUCUUCACAGUUGCUUAUGACAAGUGGAAAACACAAGCUAAAGAGGUUAAGAAAGCUCUUAACAAGUCUACGUCCAGUGAGCUCCUUAGAGAACUUGUGAGUACGACUUGUAAGGCUUCAACAGAUGUGAAACAGACCUAUGAAGACUUAAGACAAUAUUGUACUCCUGAUGGUGAAACACGCCGCAGAGUAGAUACUUGUGAUGCUAUCUCAAAACAAAUUGAAGAAUAUGCAUCUAAUCUUCUUGAAGAGAAAGACAAAGAACAGGGUGCAAAUAGUGAUCAAGUACACUGGGAUGGAACUAGUUCAGUGCUUUCAUCUGCUAUAUCCUCAAGGUUUAAGUCAAGAUCAAAAGGUUCAAAAUCUGCAAGCAGUUCAUAUGUAAGCACGCGACACUCAAGCUUGUGCUCUGCAAUGAAACAAGACGCUGCAGCUGAGCUAGCUGCUACUCGAGCUACCUUGCAAGCUUUAAAAGAAAUAGAGUGUGAAAAACAAAAGCUUGAAAGUUUAGAGGUAGAAAACAAACAGAGGCUUGCACUACAAGAAGCUGAAAAUAUUGCAAGACAGAAUACACUAGAAGAAAAGCGCAGAGAGAUUUUACGUUUAGAGACAGUUAAGCAGAUGAAUGCUGCUAAAGCCAGACUACAGGUCUAUGAACAAGGAGAUAACUCAGAUGAAGAGAUAUCAGAGUUGCUUUAUAGCACAAGGCUAAAUCAAAGCACACCUGUGCCCAAGAAAGAGAGACCUCCAGUGCAAUGCACAGCAUCACCACUAGUGACACAGGUCCAGUCUGCAAGUAACAGUAAACCUGAUAACAGUGCGAUCUCACUUGCUGAAGCAAUAGCAGAGUCAAUUAAUUCAAGCCGUCUCCCAGCACCAGAGCCAUCUAUCUUUACUGGAGACCCAUUAAGAUACAAAGACUGGAAGAUGUCUUUUCAAACACUGAUUGGCAGGAAGAACAUCCCAGUAAAUGAGAAAGUCUACUACCUCCGCAAAUAUGUUGGUGGAUCAGCAAGGAAAGCCAUUGAGAGUUAUUUCCUGCUUAGUACAGAUGAGGCUUACCAUUCAGCUUGGGAAGUCUUGGAGGAGAGAUAUGGAAGUCCCUUUGUCAUUGCCAAGGCAUUUAGAGACAAGCUCAACUCAUGGCCAAAAAUAGGUCCUAAAGAAAGCAUAGAGCUAAGAGAGUUUUCAGAUUUCUUACGAGCUUGUGAAGCAGCAAUGUCUCAGGUUAAGUGCCUUGAAAUAUUAAAUGAUUGUAGUGAAAACCAGAAAAUGAUAACUAAGCUUCCUGAUUGGCUGGCAGCCAGAUGGAACAGAAAGGUCAUUGAGUUUGAG